GCUUGCUUCUCUUGAGAGCGGCGGACGGGUGAGUAAUGCCUAGGAAUCUGCCUGGUAGUGGGGGAUAACGCUCGGAAACGGACGCUAAUACCGCAUACGUCCUACGGGAGAAAGCAGGGGACCUUCGGGCCUUGCGCUAUCAGAUGAGCCUAGGUCGGAUUAGCUAGUUGGUGAGGUAAUGGCUC
Molecule: ribosomal RNA, 185 nt
Filed under: Pseudomonas sp.
Lineage: Bacteria; Pseudomonadati; Pseudomonadota; Gammaproteobacteria; Pseudomonadales; Pseudomonadaceae
Description: partial 16S ribosomal RNA
Rfam family: Bacterial small subunit ribosomal RNA
Source: RNAcentral